UUGACCUCGGAUCAGGUAGGAAUACCCGGUGAAC
Molecule: ribosomal RNA, 34 nt
Filed under: Fusarium chlamydosporum
Lineage: Eukaryota; Fungi; Ascomycota; Sordariomycetes; Hypocreales; Nectriaceae
Description: partial 28S ribosomal RNA
Source: RNAcentral